CAGUCGCCGCGGUAAUACAGAGGGUGCGAGCGUUAAUCGGAUUUACUGGGCGUAAAGCGUGCGUAGGCGGCUUCUUAAGUCGGAUGUGAAAUCCCUGAGCUUAACUUAGGAAUUGCAUUCGAUACUGUGAAGCUAGAGUAUGGGAGAGGAUGGUAGAAUUCCAGGUGUAGCGGUGAAAUGCGUAGAGAUCUGGAGGAAUACCGAUGGCUAAGGCAGCCAUCUGGCCUAAUACUGACGCUGAGGUACGAAAGCAUGGGGAGCAAACAGGAUUAGAUACCCCCGUAGUCCCUGUCUCUUAUAA
RNAcentral lists this ribosomal RNA (301 nucleotides) under uncultured bacterium. RNAcentral's name for it is "partial 16S ribosomal RNA". It matches the Rfam family "Bacterial small subunit ribosomal RNA", at positions 509 to 809 of the family's 1533-position model. The record is from RNAcentral.